Molecule: ribosomal RNA, 426 nt
Filed under: uncultured bacterium
Lineage: Bacteria
Description: partial 16S ribosomal RNA
Rfam family: Bacterial small subunit ribosomal RNA
Source: RNAcentral
GUGAGGAAUUUUCCGCAAUGGGCGAAAGCCUGACGGAGCAAUGCCGCGUGAAGGAUGAAGGCCUAUGGGUUGUAAACUUCUUUUCUCAGAAAAGAAUUAUGACGGUAUCUGAGGAAUAAGCAUCGGCUAACUCUGUGCCAGCAGCCGCGGUAAGACAGAGGAUGCAAGCGUUAUCCGGAAUGAUUGGGCGCAAAGCGUCUGUAGGUUGUUUAAAAAGUAUUCUGUCAAAGAUUAGGGCUUAACCCUAGAUAGGCAGAAUAAACUUUUAAGCUAGAGUUUGGUAGAGGCAGAGGGAAUUCCCGGUGGAGCGGUGAAAUGCGUAGAUAUCGGGAGGAACACCAAAGGCGAAGGCACUCUGCUGGGCCAAUACUAACACUGAGAGACGAAAGCGAGGGGAGCAAAUGGGAUUAGAUACCCGUGUAGUCC